Molecule: ribosomal RNA, 460 nt
Filed under: uncultured bacterium
Lineage: Bacteria
Description: partial 16S ribosomal RNA
Rfam family: Bacterial small subunit ribosomal RNA
Source: RNAcentral
CCUACGGGAGGCAGCAGUGAGGAAUAUUGGUCAAUGGACGAGAGUCUGAACCAGCCAAGUAGCGUGAAGGAUGACUGCCCUAUGGGUUGUAAACUUCUUUUAUAUGGGAAUAAAAUGUUCCACGUGUGGGAUUUUGUAUGUACCAUAUGAAUAAGGAUCGGCUAACUCCGUGCCAGCAGCCGCGGUAAUACGGAGGAUCCGAGCGUUAUCCGGAUUUAUUGGGUUUAAAGGGAGCGUAGGUGGAUUGUUAAGUCAGUUGUGAAAGUUUGCGGCUCAACCGUAAAAUUGCAGUUGAAACUGGCAGUCUUGAGUACAGUAGAGGUGGGCGGAAUUCGUGGUGUAGCGGUGAAAUGCUUAGAUAUCACGAAGAACUCCGAUUGCGAAGGCAGUUCACUGGACUGCAACUGACACUGAGGCUCGAAAGUGUGGGUAUCAAACAGGAUUAGGUACCCCAGUAGUC